Molecule: ribosomal RNA, 383 nt
Filed under: uncultured eukaryote
Lineage: Eukaryota
Description: partial Eukaryotic small subunit ribosomal RNA
Rfam family: Eukaryotic small subunit ribosomal RNA
Source: RNAcentral
ACCUGGUUGAUCCUGCCAGUAGUCAUAUGCUUGUCUCAAAGAUUAAGCCAUGCAUGUCUCAGUAUAAGCUUCUAUACGGUGAAACUGCGAAUGGCUCAUUAAAACAGUUACAGUUUAUUUGAUGGUCAUUCCUUACAUGGAUAACUGUGGUAAUUCUAGAGCUAAUACAUGCUGAAAAUCCCGACUUCGGAAGGGAUGUGUUUAUUAGAUAAAAAACCAAUGCCCUUCGGGGCUUUUUGGUGAUUCAUGAUAACUUUACGGAUCGCAUAGCCUUGCGCUGGCGACGGUUCAUUCAAAUUUCUGCCCUAUCAACUUUCGAUGGUAGGAUAGUGGCCUACUAUGGUGGUGACGGGUGACGGAGAAUUAGGGUUCGAUUCCGGAGA